AUGGAUCACCAACAGUCCAGGUUUUGUCAGUAUCUCCAUUGGAAUAAAACAGGGAAAUACAUAAAUCCUGGACUGUUGGUGGUCCAUGAGGACU
Molecule: non-coding RNA, 94 nt
Organism: Pelobates cultripes (western spadefoot toad)
Lineage: Eukaryota; Metazoa; Chordata; Amphibia; Anura; Pelobatidae
Source: the annotation of a GenBank genome assembly